ACACUCACACGGACGGAUCAGAAAUCCAAAAUGGCGGCCACGUGUAACAAGCGGAGAUUCUACACUGAUGACUGACUGUGUUGCUGCUACUGUUAUCUUUUUUACAGAUCUCCUCCUUCAGUGAUGCUCCUCCUCCUCCAGUGAAACUCCUCCUUCAGUGAAGCUCCUCCCACUGCAGUUCACCAAUAAACGCUGGAAUAUUCCCCUCAGCUACAAGUGAAGACGAGCAUCAAACCAUCAGGAAGAGCCAACACAAACACAGAGUUUAUUGAAGGACACUGAGAACAUGAGAUCCAGAACACUGCAGAAUGAAACAUACUGAAGAACAAAGAGGUUCCGAGUGCCUGACAACUGUGAGCUGAUAACGGGCCGCGCCGAGUGGAAUUGGACGUCUUGGCCAUGAUCUGACACGACGCAUCUCUCAGGGAUGGAAAUCAACUCUUUUGUCCACCGGCGGCCACUGUGGAUUUCAAAAUCGACCAGCCACUCGACGUUUUUACUAGCCACUUUCUUGUUUUUAACCGACAAUGUGUAACUGGUAACACUUUACAAUAAGGUUCAUUAGUUAAUGUAUUUACUAACAU
Molecule: non-coding RNA, 584 nt
Organism: Pimephales promelas (fathead minnow)
Lineage: Eukaryota; Metazoa; Chordata; Actinopteri; Cypriniformes; Leuciscidae
Source: RefSeq, a predicted model, not a curated record